AUUGAACGCUGGCGGCAGGCCUAACACAUGCAAGUCGAGCGGAUGAAGGGAGCUUGCUCCUGGAUUCAGCGGCGGACGGGUGAGUAAUGCCUAGGAAUCUGCCUGGUAGUGGGGGAUAACGUCCGGAAACGGGCGCUAAUACCGCAUACGUCCUGAGGGAGAAAGUGGGGGAUCUUCGGACCUCACGCUAUCAGAUGAGCCUAGGUCGGAUUAGCUAGUUGGUGGGGUAAAGGCCUACCAAGGCGACGAUCCGUAACUGGUCUGAGAGGAUGAUCAGUCACACUGGAACUGAGCCACGGUCCAGACUCCUACGGGAGGCAGCAGUGGGGAAUAUUGGACAAUGGGCGAAAGCCUGAUCCAGCCAUGCCGCGUGUGUGAAGAAGGUCUUCGGAUUGUAAAGCACGUUAAGUUGGGAGGAAGGGCAGUAAGUUAAUACCUUGCUGUUUUGACGUUACCAACAGAAUAAGCACCGGCUAACUUCGUG
RNAcentral lists this ribosomal RNA (484 nucleotides) under uncultured bacterium. RNAcentral's name for it is "partial 16S ribosomal RNA". It matches the Rfam family "Bacterial small subunit ribosomal RNA", at positions 30 to 507 of the family's 1533-position model. The record is from RNAcentral.